GUGGGGAAUAUUGGACAAUGGGCGAAAGCCUGAUCCAGCCAUGCCGCGUGUGUGAAGAAGGUCUUCGGAUUGUAAAGCACUUUAAGUUGGGAGGAAGGGCAGUAAGUUAAUACCUUGCUGUUUUGACGUUACCGACAGAAUAAGCACCGGCUAACUUCGUGCCAGCAGCCGCGGUAAUACGAAGGGUGCACGCGUUAAUCGGAAUUACUGGGCGUAAAGCGCGCGUAGGUGGUUUUGUAAGUUGGAGGUGAAAUACCCGGGCUCAACCUGGGAACUGCCUCCAAAACUGCAUGACUAGAGUACGGUAGAGGGUAGUGGAAUUUCCUGUGUAGCGGUGAAAUGCGUAGAUAUAGGAAGGAACACCAGUGGCGAAGGCGACUACCUGGACUGAUACUGACACUGAGGUGCGAAAGCGUGGGGAGCAAACAGGAUUAGAAACCCUGGUAGUCC
Molecule: ribosomal RNA, 450 nt
Filed under: uncultured bacterium
Lineage: Bacteria
Description: partial 16S ribosomal RNA
Rfam family: Bacterial small subunit ribosomal RNA
Source: RNAcentral